CCUCUUUAAGAUAGACGGUAAAGCAUCUGCCUGCAAUGCAGGAGACCCGGGUUCGAUUCCUGAGUGGGGA
This 70-nucleotide transfer RNA is filed under the name Ovis aries (sheep). It matches the Rfam family "tRNA". Rfam says of the family: Transfer RNA (tRNA) molecules are approximately 80 nucleotides in length. The record is from Rfam by way of RNAcentral. Lineage: Eukaryota; Metazoa; Chordata; Mammalia; Artiodactyla; Bovidae.